Erinaceus europaeus (western European hedgehog) is the source of this 926-nucleotide long non-coding RNA. RefSeq lists it as uncharacterized. The transcript has 4 exons. NCBI's taxonomy places the organism in Eukaryota, Metazoa, Chordata, Mammalia, Eulipotyphla, Erinaceidae. The record is from RefSeq and is a predicted model, not a curated record.
CCUGUGCAAAGGCAGACUGUCAAGGCUCCUAGCUUCCCGUGUAGGCGGCGCUGCCAUUCCCAGCACUGUGAAAGCGUCCGCCAGCCGCCCUCAGAAGCUUUUGCAGGAAACUGGUGACUUCUCUCCUAAGUUACACAGACCAGACAAAAUGCUACCCCAAAGCAACCCGGUUGUUCUGAUUUUCUGAUUGGUGCCAUCUGCCAACACUUUACCUUUUGCCUGCAGAGGAGUAAGGCAGACUACAAAGAACAGGUUCAAGGACCUUGUGGAAUUUGAACUUGCACAGGCUUAUCAACUAUGGCUGAUUGUGAGUGAUAGCAAUAUAGAUACCUAAGAGAGUCAUGUUCAUUGAGUUGCAGAUGAUACUAUGCAGCCAACCAGACUUCAAUGGGCAGAUGACCUCACCAAUGUUUCCUGGAGCCCCACCUCCCCGGAGCCCUGCCCUCCUAGAGAAAGAUAGAAACAGGCUUGGGGUAUGGAUCAACUUGCCAACACCCAUGUUCAGCUGAGAAGCAAUUACAGAAGCCAGACCUUCUCCCUUCUGCACCCCAUAAUGAUCCUGGGUCUAUACUCCCAGAGGGAUAAAGAAUAGAGAAGCUUUCAAGGGAGUGGGGGAGGGGAUGGGAUACAGAACUCUGGUAGUGGGAAUUGUGUGGAAUUGUACUUCUCUUAUCCUAUGGUCUUGUUGAUAUUUUUAAUUUUAUGAAUAAAUUUAAAAUUUUUUUUAAAAGGUGGGAGGCAUGAUACUAUAGAGACUUCUGUGCUCUAUGUUGAAGAGUAGGAUAGUGGAUAAACACUGAAAAGAGUUUCUGCAUAGCCCAUAAGCUGAUGUCAAAAUACACAGUUAUAGGAGUCUGGCAGUAGUGCAGCGGGUUAAGCACAAGUGGCGCAAAGCACACAGACCCAUUGUAAGGAUUCUGGUUUGA